RNAcentral lists this ribosomal RNA (476 nucleotides) under uncultured Smithella sp. RNAcentral's name for it is "bacterial SSU rRNA". It matches the Rfam family "Bacterial small subunit ribosomal RNA", at positions 901 to 1382 of the family's 1533-position model. The record is from RNAcentral. Lineage: Bacteria; Pseudomonadati; Thermodesulfobacteriota; Syntrophia; Syntrophales; Smithellaceae.
UUAAAGGAAUUGACGGGGCCGCACAAGCGGUGGAGCAUGUGGUUAAUUCGACGCAACGCGAAGAACCUUACAGGCUUGACAUCCCUGACCGCGUAUGAAAGUACGUUUUCACCCUCGGGUGACAGGGAGACAGGUGGUGCAUGGUUGUCGUCAGCUCGUGUCGUGAGAUGUUGGGUUAAGUCCCGCAACGAGCGCAACCCUCGACCUUAAUUGCCAGCAUUCAGUUGGGCACUUUAAAGAGACUGCCGGUGUUAAGCCGGAGGAAGGUGGGGAUGACGUCAAGUCCUCAUGGCCUUUAUGCCCAGGGCUACACACGUGCUACAAUGGGUGGUACAAAGAGAUGCCAACUCGCGAGAGCGCGCCAAUCUCAGAAAGCCAUCCUCAGUUCGGAUUGGAGUCUGCAACUCGACUCCAUGAAGUUGGAAUCGCUAGUAAUCGCGGAUCAGCACGCCGCGGUGAAUACGUUCCCGGGCCUU